CCUUCAGUACCUCAGCUGGGAGAGCGGAGGACUGUAGGCUUCCAGGAUGUAGAAAUCCAUAGGUUGCUGGUUUGAUUCCGGCUUGAAGGA
RNAcentral lists this transfer RNA (90 nucleotides) under Alligator mississippiensis (American alligator). It matches the Rfam family "tRNA". Rfam says of the family: Transfer RNA (tRNA) molecules are approximately 80 nucleotides in length. The record is from Rfam by way of RNAcentral. Lineage: Eukaryota; Metazoa; Chordata; Crocodylia; Alligatoridae.